RNAcentral lists this transfer RNA (71 nucleotides) under Candidatus Parcubacteria bacterium. RNAcentral's name for it is "tRNA-Pro". It matches the Rfam family "tRNA". From Rfam's summary of the family: Transfer RNA (tRNA) molecules are approximately 80 nucleotides in length. Their secondary structure includes four short double-helical elements and three loops (D, anti-codon, and T loops). Lineage: Bacteria; Candidatus Parcubacteria. The record is from RNAcentral.
CGGGGUGUAGUACAACGGAAGUACACAUGCUUUGGGGGCAUGAGAUCUGGGUUCAAUUCCCAGCACCCCGA